AAUAUUGCACAAUGGAGGGAACUCUGAUGCAGCAACGCCGCGUGAGUGAAGAAGGUUUUCGGAUCGUAAAACUCUGUCAUUGGGGAAGAAUAAAUGACGGUACCCAAGGAGGAAGCCCCGGCUAACUACGUGCCAGCAGCCGCGGUAAUACGUAGGGGGCGAGCGUUGUCCGGAAUUAUUGGGCGUAAAGGGUGCGUAGGCGGCCUUUUAAGUCAGAUGUGAAAGGCUACGGCUUAACCGUAGUUAGCAUUUGAAACUGGUUGGCUUGAGUGCAGGAGAGGAAAGUGGAAUUCCUAGUGUAGCGGUGAAAUGCGUAGAGAUGUGGAGGAACACCAGUGGCGAAGGCGGCUCUUUGGUCUGUAACUGACGCUGAGGCGCGAAAGCGUGGGGAGCAAACA
RNAcentral lists this ribosomal RNA (398 nucleotides) under uncultured bacterium. RNAcentral's name for it is "partial 16S ribosomal RNA". It matches the Rfam family "Bacterial small subunit ribosomal RNA", at positions 360 to 774 of the family's 1533-position model. The record is from RNAcentral.